This is a regulatory RNA element of Firmicutes bacterium CAG:882, 162 nucleotides long. NCBI's taxonomy places the organism in Bacteria, Bacillati, Bacillota. The record is from Rfam.
UUUGGAAGAUGCAUAGUUGUUCUUGGCACUCUGCUCACCAUAUAGCCAAAGUCAGCAUGGAUGCUGACUUAGAUGCCAUAGCCCAUGGAUGGGCAUUUGGCAUCGUUGGUGUAUGUAAAAAACAACUUGGCAGAGUGCUUAGAACAACCCGCAUCGGACAAC